Cyprinus carpio (common carp) is the source of this 961-nucleotide long non-coding RNA. RefSeq lists it as uncharacterized. NCBI's taxonomy places the organism in Eukaryota, Metazoa, Chordata, Actinopteri, Cypriniformes, Cyprinidae. The record is from RefSeq and is a predicted model, not a curated record. The transcript has 3 exons.
AGUUUCGAGCAACUAAAAGCAUACAAAUACUCAUUGUGCAAUGAAAUACCAAAAAUAAUAGUAACUCGUUAUAUUUUAAACAUGAGAACGGUUAUAGGCUGAUAUGAAAACGCUUAUGACCCAACAACAUGACGUGUUCAUUUGCUGACAUAAUUAGCAGUCGCAUAAAGUCGUGAUAACUAUCUUUGCUAUCUAAGGGCAUUACUGACAUCUGCUGGAGCUGUGAGCGGAAUUGUUGGGGGGAAAAAAUCUAAUAUUGUGUAUAGGGGUGCUUGGAGUCAAAAAGCUGAAGAACCACUAUUGGUGUUCCGUAUGAACGGGUCCAGCAGUAACAGCCUCACUUUCAUAAAAGCACCAUGAACGAAUCAAUGAACGCAUUUUAACGUAUUCAAAUUCGAGUCAGUGAGCUGAAUCAAAAUCCUCGCCACUGAAAAGACUCUACUCUUCAAAGGGUUAAUUCGCAGGCCUUCUCACAUGACAGCAUCACGUGACAUUGAUCCCGUGACGUCUUGUAGCAAUUUGACAGCAAAGGCAGCAGGUAAGCGAGAAGUCAAAUAUAUUUAUAGUAUUUCUGCUACAACUAUUGCUUAUCGGGUUGACAAAUAAUUGUCAGAUAUCUGUAUAGCAACGUCUGACUAAACACAAAAUCUAGGCGCUAGCUUCCCAACCAGCUCUUUGCAUUAGCAGUUGUCAGUGGCUCGGUCCAUUCAGUAUUUGGUUUGUUUGUUUGUUUGUUUUUGAAUACGUAUAACAAAUAAUAUCAUAUUAUUUUGAAGUAAUGUGUCCAGACCCACCGAAACGUUUAGUUAACCUCAUUUCUUUUUUAAGUUGAGUUGUAAUUCGUAUUUUUACCCGUUCACCCUUAGCUAGCUGAUACACGACCCCUGCUAUGCUAAAUCAUAUUUAUAGUGUUUAUUAGUAACAUACCGUCGUUUUUACACAGUUAUAUUGUUUAAUCUUU